CCUACGGGGGGCAGCAGUGAGGAAUAUUGGUCAAUGGGCGGAAGCCUGAACCAACCAAGUCGCGUGAGGGAAUAAGGCCCUACGGGUCGUAAACCUCUUUUGCCGGGGAGCAAGGGCCGGGACGCGUCCCGGCCCGGAGAGUACCCGGAGAAAAAGCAUCGGCUAACUCCGUGCCAGCAGCCGCGGUAAUACGGAGGAUGCGAGCGUUAUCCGGAUUUAUUGGGUUUAAAGGGUGCGUAGGCGGGCUUUUAAGUCAGCAGUAAAAAUUCGGGGCUCAACCCCGUCCGGCCGUUGAAACUGGGGGC
This 305-nucleotide ribosomal RNA is filed under the name uncultured bacterium. Its description in RNAcentral is "bacterial SSU rRNA". It matches the Rfam family "Bacterial small subunit ribosomal RNA", at positions 338 to 640 of the family's 1533-position model. The record is from RNAcentral.